This 352-nucleotide unclassified non-coding RNA is filed under the name soil metagenome. RNAcentral's name for it is "partial contains 5.8S ribosomal RNA, internal transcribed spacer 2, and large subunit ribosomal RNA". The stretch from base 1 to 120 matches the Rfam family "5.8S ribosomal RNA", at positions 35 to 154 of the family's 154-position model. The record is from RNAcentral.
GAUGAAGAACGCAGCGAAAUGCGAUAAGUAAUGUGAAUUGCAGAAUUCAGUGAAUCAUCGAAUCUUUGAACGCACAUUGCGCCCGCCAGUAUUCUGGCGGGCAUGCCUGUUCGAGCGUCAUUACAACCCUCAGGCCCCCGGGCCUGGCGUUGGGGAUCGGCGGAGCCCCCCGUGGGCACACGCCGUCCCCCAAAUACAGUGGCGGUCCCGCCGCAGCUUCCAUCGCGUAGUAGCUAACACCUCGCGACUGGAGAGCGGCGCGGCCACGCCGUAAAACACCCAACUCUACUGAAGUUGACCUCGAAUCAGGUAGGAAUACCCGCUGAACUUAAUCAUAUCAAUAAGCGGAGGA